GACGUAGGAUGCAAGCGUUGUCCGGAAUCAUUGGGCGUAAAGAGCGUGUAGGCGGUUCGGUAAGUCGGCUGUGAAAGUCCAGGGCUCAACCCUGGGAUGCCGGUCGAUACUGCCGGACUAGAGUUCGGAAGAGGCGAGUGGAAUUCCCGGUGUAGCGGUGAAAUGCGCAGAUAUCGGGAGGAACACCUAUGGCGAAGGCAGCUCGCUGGGACGUUACUGACGCUGAGACGCGAAAGCGUGGGGAGCAAACAGG
RNAcentral lists this ribosomal RNA (253 nucleotides) under uncultured bacterium. Its description in RNAcentral is "partial 16S ribosomal RNA". It matches the Rfam family "Bacterial small subunit ribosomal RNA", at positions 524 to 776 of the family's 1533-position model. The record is from RNAcentral.